Molecule: long non-coding RNA, 2246 nt
Organism: Puntigrus tetrazona (Sumatra barb)
Lineage: Eukaryota; Metazoa; Chordata; Actinopteri; Cypriniformes; Cyprinidae
Exons: 3
Source: RefSeq, a predicted model, not a curated record
UGCAAAUAACAUUCGAGAGGCCAGAGUGACGACUGACAAUUCAGUUUGCUGUGAAUUGAUUUGUGCUGUCUGGAAAGAAAGGAGCAAAAGGUCUUUAGUUUCUUUCUUGCAGAUUCGCAGAAAGAAAAUCUUGGGUCAAAGCAGCAUCUGCGGAUGAAGGACAGAGCGCUUCAGAGAAACGCUGGCUCUUUGUUGAAAAACAGCCGUGCAGGCACGCCGUUUUACCUCGGGAUGCAACGCGAGCUGCAGAUAUGAAGAUGCAUUGAUGUGGAGCCAUCGAUCCACCAAACCAGCCAAGCGUGGGUCAAUAUCUCUCAGCAACGAUGUCUUGUCCAUUCAUCUGAAAACAUAGAUCGAGACACUGAUCUCUUAAGAAGUAUGGAGACGCAAACCGUUGGAGUACCGGACACGGUCGCUGUAAUCUCUCGUUUGCCGUAGCGUCCCUGGAACUGCUGUGCAGCUAAACUCCAAAGACGUGCAAAAGCAAAAAAGCCAUGUUUUAUCGUAAUCUGUGAAAAGACCGUGCAAAUGGUUUGAUCGUCAGCAGGGGAGUUAUGUGCUUUCAAAAACCUGAAGGGAAUAAGGGGAUAUGUUGGUUUUUUUAAAUCACUGUACUUUGCUUUGCAUAAUGGAUUUUUGUUCUGAAAGCUUUCCAUUUGGAAUUACUUAUAAAGAUUUAAUGAGCAUUAAUCUAAUCGGCAUGAGAAGUCUUCAAGCUGCCGAUAAGAUGCGAAGUAUACACUUGAAUCUGCUGCAGCGACCAUGAAAGUCACAUUUCGUCGGUCUAGGAAUUAAAAAAAAAAAGCCUUAAAUUAUUUUUGGUCCACACACUCUUAAAAAUAAAAGUUCUUUGUUAGAAUCAGUGGUUAUAGUAAUAUGUCCUUAAAUGUAUGGUUCUUUCAGGAACCUUUCCCUUGAAGUUCCUUUGGCAGAAAAAUUGAUCUUUUAUUGCAAUGGCUGUGAAAAAAAUGUGUAUUUUUAAAAGUGCCUGAUGAGAGAAGUUGUUACUAAACUGUUCAAAUCUGCUUAAACGUUCGUGGAGCAUCACGUCUGCAGUAUAUUAUUUCGUUUUAAAUCAGAUUACUCCAAAAGAUGCUUGGAUAUUUUUCCGUCUUUGUGGACUAAUAGGCAUGUUUUACCGUAAGCCAGUUAUCUUUUGCUGAGUGAAUUCUAAAGAUCUGUGAUACCAGAGAUGUUGGGACGCUUUUUAAAUUUGGAUAUAAUGAAAACUAAGAGAAUUUUGAAUCCCACGAGCCAGCUGAGCGGUUUGUGCCAAAAGAUCUGGACCGCAGGCAGGACUCUUCUACAGUGAAGACAUGCUGUAGUAAGUGCAUGGUAAAUGUUGUGCUGCAGAUGAUGAGCUUUUUCAGAGCCUUUGCUAUUUGACGUUGACAUCUUUACUUCCGAGAGACUCUGCCUCAUGUUACAGACACAGGGUCGUACCCAAACCAACGUUACACCGAUUUUGUAUUAAAUUAUGAAGCUCAAAUACUAAUUUUAAUGCACUAGUUUGCGCUGGAUUAGCUUGCCUGCUGGUACGUUAAUAAGCCUGAUUUUUGAUGCGCUAAAAAUAUUUCCUACAAUGUUGUAAAAUUCAAUUUUACCUAAAGCUAUAUGUUUAUUUAGGAGCAGUGAGAGGUUAUGGAAGUUUCUUUUGCUUGAUUUACGUACAUUAAAUGCACAGAUACAUUAUAUCGACACAUCUAGUUUUGUUUGUUUAUAAUCAGGGACAUUUGUAGAAUUUGUAGGAAAACAUCAGGGGCUCACUUCAAGCUCACGUAAGUGUAAAUUUAGUCCUGGUAUUAAUAUUUUAAAAACUUUUUGUAAGCUUUAUGCUCUAAUUGCUGAACACAUGCAGACAAAAUUUAGUCAGAGAUCUAAUGCCCUGCGUUACCCUGUGAGGGGCGCGCUAAAGACAACUGACAGAUUGGAUUAUGUAUAAAUGUAUGCAUGUACAUGACACACACAUUAAAGACCAGCCUUGGACCCCUUGGUGCUCCAGAGUCUGCUUGACUGUCACAUCAUCUGCUCAAGAAAAAAUUUACCAAUGCCAACUGACCCUGACCAGCUCAAUGUGUUUGUUGUUUCCAUCUUUUCACUUUUUUCCCCUUGGUUUUCAUUCAAGCUAGCGCUGUUUUGUCUUCUUUCUUUUUUUUUCUUUGUGCAGUAUUGUAAAGAGUAGACAUACUGCUGAUAACAUGUCACUUUCCAAUCAUGCCUGAUACAAUACCAUGUUUAGUGUCCUU